RNAcentral lists this long non-coding RNA (351 nucleotides) under Homo sapiens (human). RNAcentral's name for it is "HSALNT0323757". The record is from RNAcentral. Lineage: Eukaryota; Metazoa; Chordata; Mammalia; Primates; Hominidae.
UGUGCAUGUGGCCACUUGUGAUGCAAGACAGAGGCAGGACUGAGAAGACGAGAGGUGGGCUUCGUUCCUGAGAAUAUCCAGGAGUCCAAGAGAUCUAAAUUGGAAGAUGGCCUUCCAAUUUAGGUCAGUUUCCAAUUAAGAAGGCCAGGUUUUUAUGAAGCAAUAUUUGUCAAGGCAUGGACAUUCACUUUUGCAGAUGAGGAAACAAGAAUUCAGAGUUGAUUUGCACAUACGAAGCAAAACAAGUGAGAUCCAAGCCUCCAGACUCUACAACAGAUGCUUCCAAUAUCUAUGUCUAAUGAAGUAAACUACUCUGAAAAUCAAAAUGUGUAUUUUUUAAAUUAAUAAAAA